AUUGAACGCUGGCGGCAGGCCUAACACAUGCAAGUCGAGCGGAUGAAGGGAGCUUGCUCCUGGAUUCAGCGGCGGACGGGUGAGUAAUGCCUAGGAAUCUGCCUGGUAGUGGGGGAUAACGUCCGGAAACGGGCGCUAAUACCGCAUACGUCCGGAGGGAGAAAGGGGGGGAUCUUCGGACCUCACGCUACAAGAUGAGCCUAGGUCGGAUUAGCUAGUUGGUGGGGUAAAGGCCUACCAAGGCGACGAUCCGUAACUGGUCUGAGAGGAUGAUCAGUCACACUGGAACUGAGACACGGUCCAGACUCCUACGGGAGGCAGCAGUGGGGAAUAUUGGACAAUGGGCGAAAGCCUGAUCCAGCCAUGCCGCGUGUGUGAAGAAGGUCUUCGGAUUGUAAAGCACUUUAAGUUGGGAGGAAGGGCAGUAAGUUAAUACCUUGCUGUUUUGACGUUACCAACAGAAUAAGCACCGGCUAACUUCGUG
RNAcentral lists this ribosomal RNA (484 nucleotides) under uncultured bacterium. Its description in RNAcentral is "partial 16S ribosomal RNA". It matches the Rfam family "Bacterial small subunit ribosomal RNA", at positions 30 to 507 of the family's 1533-position model. The record is from RNAcentral.